RNAcentral lists this microRNA precursor (200 nucleotides) under Oryza rufipogon (brownbeard rice). RNAcentral's name for it is "MIR812 microRNA precursor family". It matches the Rfam family "MIR812 microRNA precursor family". The record is from Rfam by way of RNAcentral. Lineage: Eukaryota; Viridiplantae; Streptophyta; Magnoliopsida; Poales; Poaceae.
AAAAAGGCAAACCCUGAAUUUUCGUGUCCAAUUUUAACUGUCCGUCUCAUAUAAAAUUUUUUUAUAAUUUGUAUUUUUAUUUUUGUUAGAUGAUAAGACAUGAUUAAUAUUUUAUGGGUGACUUAUCUUUUUUUUCAUAUUUUUUUUCAAAUAAGACGGACGGUCAAACGUUGGGCAUGGAAACCAGGGUUUGUCUUUUU